GCGGAAGGAUCAUUGUCGUU
This 20-nucleotide ribosomal RNA is filed under the name Hymenaea stigonocarpa. RNAcentral's name for it is "partial 18S ribosomal RNA". The record is from RNAcentral. Lineage: Eukaryota; Viridiplantae; Streptophyta; Magnoliopsida; Fabales; Fabaceae.